RNAcentral lists this ribosomal RNA (429 nucleotides) under Bacteroidota bacterium. RNAcentral describes it as "Bacteroidetes bacterium partial 16S ribosomal RNA". It matches the Rfam family "Bacterial small subunit ribosomal RNA", at positions 355 to 776 of the family's 1533-position model. The record is from RNAcentral. Lineage: Bacteria; Pseudomonadati; Bacteroidota.
UAGGGAAUCUUCCGCAAUGGACGCAAGUCUGACGGAGCAACGCCGCGUGAGUGAAGAAGGAUUUCGGUUCGUAAAACUCUGUUGUUAGAGAAGAACAGCGCAUAGAGUAACUGUUAUGCGUGUGACGGUAUCUAACCAGAAAGCCACGGCUAACUACGUGCCAGCAGCCGCGGUAAUACGUAGGUGGCAAGCGUUGUCCGGAUUUAUUGGGCGUAAAGCGAGCGCAGGCGGUCAAUUAAGUCUGAUGUGAAAGCCCCCGGCUCAACCGGGGAGGGUCAUUGGAAACUGGUUGACUUGAGUGCAGAAGAGGAGGGUGGAAUUCCAUGUGUAGCGAUGAAAUGCGUAGAUAUAUGGAGGAACACCGGUGGCGAAAGCGGCUCUCUGGUCUGUAACUGACGCUGAGGCUCGAAAGCGUGGGGAGCGAACAGG